Molecule: non-coding RNA, 184 nt
Filed under: Paramaledivibacter caminithermalis
Lineage: Bacteria; Bacillati; Bacillota; Clostridia; Peptostreptococcales; Caminicellaceae
Also listed under: 1 other name
Source: RNAcentral
AUUAAAUAAUAGCUAGUAGGUGUUUUUAAAACUUAAAAGGGAAGACGGUGAAAAUCCGCCACAGCCCCCGCUACUGUAAGUGAUGAUGAAAUCAGUAAAAACCACUCAAGAUAAUUGCUUGGGGAAGGUGCUGAAAGUAAAGUGACUCACAAGUCAGGAGACCUGCCUAUUAGUAUACGUACUU